CGUGCUUAACACAUGCAAGUCGAACGAUGAAGACCGUGCUUGCACGGUUGGAUUAGUGGCGAACGGGUGAGUAUCACGUGAGUAACCUUCCCUUAACUCUGGGAUAAGCCCGGGAAACUGGGUCUAAUACCGGAUACGACCAGUCCUCGCAUGGGGUGCUGGUGGAAAGAUUUAUCGGUUUUGGAUGGACUCGCGGCCUAUCAGCUUGUUGGUGAGGUAAAGGCUCACCAAGGCGAUGACGGGUAGCCGGCCUGAGAGGGUGACCGGCCACACUGGGACUGAGACACGGCCCAGACUCCUACGGGAGGCAGCAGUGGGGAAUAUUGCACAAUGGGCGAAAGCCUGAUGCAGCGACGCCGCGUGCGGGAUGACGGCCUUCGGGUUGUAAACCGCUUUCAGCAGGGAAGAAGCGCAAGUGACGG
Molecule: ribosomal RNA, 422 nt
Filed under: Nesterenkonia sandarakina
Lineage: Bacteria; Bacillati; Actinomycetota; Actinomycetes; Micrococcales; Micrococcaceae
Description: bacterial SSU rRNA
Rfam family: Bacterial small subunit ribosomal RNA
Source: RNAcentral